Molecule: ribosomal RNA, 468 nt
Filed under: uncultured bacterium
Lineage: Bacteria
Description: partial 16S ribosomal RNA
Rfam family: Bacterial small subunit ribosomal RNA
Source: RNAcentral
GACGAACGCUGGCGGCGUGCUUAACACAUGCAAGUCGAACGGAAAGGCCCUGCUUUUGUGGGGUGCUCGAGUGGCGAACGGGUGAGUAGCACGUGAGUAACCUGCCCUUGACUUUGGGAUAACUUCAGGAAACUGGGGCUAAUACCGGAUAGGAGCUCCUGCUGCAUGGUGGGGGUUGGAAAGUUUCGGCGGUUGGGGAUGGACUCGCGGCUUAUCAGCUUGUUGGUGGGGUAGUGGCUUACCAAGGCUUUGACGGGUAGCCGGCCUGAGAGGGUGGCCGGCCACAUUGGGACUGCGAUACGGCCCAGACUCCUACGGGAGGCAGCAGUGGGGAAUAUUGCACAAUGGGCGGAAGCCUGAUGCAGCAACGCCGCGUGCGGGAUGACGGCCUUCGGGUUGUAAACCGCUUUCGCCUGUGACGAAGCGUGAGUGACGGUAAUGGGUAAAGAAGCACCGGCUAACUACGUG